Molecule: ribosomal RNA, 427 nt
Filed under: uncultured archaeon
Lineage: Archaea
Description: bacterial SSU rRNA
Rfam family: Archaeal small subunit ribosomal RNA
Source: RNAcentral
UACCUGCAGCUCGAGUGGUAACCGCUAUUAUUGGGCCUAAAGCGUCCGUAGCCGGUUUGGUAAAUAUCUGGGUAAAUCGUGAGGCUUAACUUCACGAAUUUCGGAUAGACUGCCAGACUUGGGAUCGGGGGAGGUCAGAGGUACUCCAGGGGUAGCGGUGAAAUGUUGUAAUCCUUGGAGGACCACCGGUAGCGAAGGCGUCUGACUAGAACGAGUCCGACGGUGAGGGACGAAGCCCUGGGCGCAAACCGGAUUAGAUACCCGGGUAGUCCAGGGUGUAAACGAUGUGGGCUUUGUAUUGGAGGUCCCACGUGGGCGUCCAGUGCAGAAGAGAAGUUGUUAAGCCCACCGCCUGGGAAGUACGGUCGCAAGGCUGAAACUUAAAGGAAUUGGCGGGGAGCACAGCAACGGGAGGAGCGUGCGGUUU